Molecule: long non-coding RNA, 1661 nt
Organism: Brassica napus (rape)
Lineage: Eukaryota; Viridiplantae; Streptophyta; Magnoliopsida; Brassicales; Brassicaceae
Exons: 2
Source: RefSeq, a predicted model, not a curated record
UGUAUAUAAAAAUGUUAUGCAUAUCAUCAUAUGAAAUAAAUGCUGUCCAACUACAUUUCGAGCUAAAGUUCCAACAUGACUAACUAAAUGAACAAUUCGAUCCAAUCUGUAAUAAUACUAUUAUAUUAUCAUUUUUAUUGGACGUCUCUAACAUGAGCAUCUCAUAAUUAAAAAGGGAGAAUUAAGAAAGAGUUCUUUUAAAAAAAGAAAAGCUCAUAAGAAUCUCUAUGAGAGUGGUUCAAAAAUAAAUUCUUCUAUAGUUAAUCAAUAACUAAAUUAUCAUAUACUUUGGUUGGAAUUCAUACAAGUUAAUAAGGGGAUGGAGAUGCUUUUGUUAUUAGAAGCGUUUUAAGAUGUGAGAAUUCCAGAUAGAAUCUGGACGUCAGCAAUGACCACAUGACAUGUGAGUUUAUUUUAUGUCAACAAGCAGUGUAAAAAAUUAGCAAAAAAGGCUGGACUUGUCGACAGUCCUUUUUCUUUUCGUGUUAUUUAAUACCACAGUUAAGAUUCGCAGACCAAAAUAAAUGAUAGGGAAAUUGCAGUAUGAUAACUAUGAAAACUUAUUUAAUUAGGCAGCUGGAUAUUGUACUGUUCAAUUUUUCAUAAUGGCGACGUUGUCCCUAUGUAGCCGGUCACAUAUAUUAGAAAGAGAAUAGUCUAACACAAACACGUUUGUGCAUUAAUUUUGAAAAGACGUUUUGCAGCAAACAAGAGUUUUCAUCUGUUUAAUGUUUAUCUUUCUAUCACUCGUUCUUUAAUCUUCCUAACAUUUUCUCAAUUAGUUUUCAAUCUCAGAUUUUACAUGAUUUCCUCUUCUUGUUUUUCGAAUCUUAUAUAUUUUAUCUUGGUGUUUCAUCUCUUCUUGUUCUCUGUUUAUUUAAGAAAAAACUCAGAUCUAAAUAAAUUUGAAUUCCAUGGCUAACCAGAGCUGGAGAUGGCAGAGGAGGAGGCAACGUGUCUCUGAGGCGACGGUGGUAUCAGAGCUAAGCAAAUCUGAUCUGAGAAAAUAAUGAUGAAACGGGAAGGAGAAAUGGUGGUGUGACGUCAAGCGUGGUGCAGUGAUGAGAAUCUGAAGUUAAGAAGUUAGAGAAGAAGAUAUGUCGGAAUCUAUGGAACAUACUUCCCUUACUGCUACUACCAUUUCAACACUGCUCGAAAUCUUAUGUGGCUGUUCUUACUAGUUUCGGGAGACGGCAGAGGGCUCAUAAGGGAUGGCGGUUCCCUGUGCUUCUUCUCCAUCAGAUCUGGUUUCAUCUCUCAGCGCCUUGGUGGAAGGUAAUACGUGGUGGUUCAGACCUUGAGCAGCGUGAGAUUUCAACCUCUUUGCGGCGGUGAGGGUUCGUGGAGUCGGUUCGUUUGUAUCCGGCGAAUUGGAGCCUCGGGACAACUCCGUGGAUGGCAGAUUUGAAGGUUUCAUUGGUGGAUCUGUGUAGGGCAUGAACACCCCCGCCAGAGAUACUUCGGAAUCGGAUAAGCCCGCCGUCGGUGUUCACCAGAGGAGCUCGUUCCCCUUGUCUUCUCACCUUCAACCUCUCUCUGUUUUGCUUAGAUUAGGUAUAGAUGUUCUCUGCUUGUUUUCUGUAACCUAACGUUGUUGUUUUGCCGUGGUUGUAACUGUUCCUAUGCUUUUUGGGGUUGAUAAUUAAUGCAAUUUUAUUUUU